UACAGAGGUCCCAAGCGUUGCUCGGAAUCACUGGGCGUAAAGCGCACGUAGGCGGAUCUUUAAGUCAGGGGUGAAAUCCUGGAGCUCAACUCCAGAACUGCCUUUGAUACUGAGGAUCUUGAGUCCGGGAGAGGUGAGUGGAACUCCGAGUGUAGAGGUGAAAUUCGUAGAUAUUCGGAAGAACACCCGUGGCGAAGGCGGCUCUCUGGGACGGUACUGACGCUGAGACGCGAAAGCGUGGGGAGCGAACAGG
RNAcentral lists this ribosomal RNA (253 nucleotides) under uncultured bacterium. RNAcentral describes it as "partial 16S ribosomal RNA". It matches the Rfam family "Bacterial small subunit ribosomal RNA", at positions 524 to 776 of the family's 1533-position model. The record is from RNAcentral.